Molecule: ribosomal RNA, 253 nt
Filed under: uncultured bacterium
Lineage: Bacteria
Description: partial 16S ribosomal RNA
Rfam family: Bacterial small subunit ribosomal RNA
Source: RNAcentral
UACGAAGGGGGCUAGCGUUACUCGGAUUGACUGGGCGUAAAGGGCGCGUAGGCGGUUUGUACAGUCAGACGUGAAAUUCCUGGGCUCAACCUGGGGGCUGCGUUUGAUACGUGCGGACUUGAGUUCGGAAGAGGGUCGUGGAAUUCCCAGUGUAGAGGUGAAAUUCGUAGAUAUUGGGAAGAACACCGGUGGCGAAGGCGGCGACCUGGUCCGAUACUGACGCUGAGGCGCGAAAGCGUGGGGAGCAAACAGG